This 658-nucleotide ribosomal RNA is filed under the name uncultured Bacillota bacterium. RNAcentral describes it as "bacterial SSU rRNA". It matches the Rfam family "Bacterial small subunit ribosomal RNA", at positions 97 to 769 of the family's 1533-position model. The record is from RNAcentral. Lineage: Bacteria; Bacillati; Bacillota.
GCGGAACGGGUGAGUAACACGUGAGCAACCUGCCCUUCAGAGCGGGAUAACGUUUGGAAACGAACGCUAAUACCGCAUGACAUCCCGGGGUGGCAUCGUUCUGGGAUCAAAGAUUUAUCGCUGAAGGAUGGGCUCGCGUCCGAUUAGGUAGUUGGUGAGAUAACAGCCCACCAAGCCGACGAUCGGUAGCCGGACUGAGAGGUUGAUCGGCCACAUUGGGACUGAGACACGGCCCAGACUCCUACGGGAGGCGGCAGUGGGGGAUAUUGCACAAUGGGGGAAACCCUGAUGCAGCGACGCCGCGUGAGGGAAGACGGUUUUCGGAUUGUAAACCUCUGUCUUUGGGGACGAAUAGAUGACGGUACCCAAGGAGGAAGCCACGGCUAACUACGUGCCAGCAGCCGCGGUAAUACGUAGGUGGCAAGCGUUGUCCGGAAUUACUGGGUGUAAAGGGAGCGUAGGCGGGUCUACAAAGUUGACUGUAUAAACGAUCGGCUCAACUGGUCGUGGCGAUCAAAACUGUAGAUUCUUGAGUGGAGUAGAGGCAGGCGGAAUUCCUAGUGUAGCGGUGAAAUGCGUAGAUAUUAGGAGGAACACCCAGUGGCGAAGGCGGCCUGCUGGGCUCUAACUGACGCUGAGGCUCGAAAGCGUGGGUAGC